This 468-nucleotide ribosomal RNA is filed under the name uncultured bacterium. RNAcentral's name for it is "partial 16S ribosomal RNA". It matches the Rfam family "Bacterial small subunit ribosomal RNA", at positions 28 to 507 of the family's 1533-position model. The record is from RNAcentral.
GACGAACGCUGGCGGCGUGCUUAACACAUGCAAGUCGAACGGAAAGGCCCUGCUUUUGUGGGGUGCUCGAGUGGCGAACGGGUGAGUAACACGUGAGUAACCUGCCCCUGACUUUGGGAUAACUUCAGGAAACUGGGGCUAAUACCGGAUAGGAGCUCCUGCUGCAUGGUGGGGGUUGGAAAGUUUCGGCGGUUGGGGAUGGACUCGCGGCUUAUCAGCUUGUUGGUGGGGUAGUGGCUUACCAAGGCUUUGACGGGUAGCCGGCCUGAGAGGGUGACCGGCGACAUUGGGACUGAGAUACGGCCCAGACUCCUACGGGAGGCAGCAGUGGGGAAUAUUGCACAAUGAGCGGAAGCCUGAUGCAGCAACGCCGCGUGCGGGAUGACGGCCUUCGGGUUGUAAACCGCUUUCGCCUGUGACGAAGCGUGAGUGACGGUAAUGGGUAAAGAAGCACCGGCUAACUACGUG